Molecule: transfer RNA, 77 nt
Filed under: Pseudomonadota bacterium
Lineage: Bacteria; Pseudomonadati; Pseudomonadota
Description: Proteobacteria bacterium (wastewater metagenome) tRNA-Arg
Rfam family: tRNA
About the family: Transfer RNA (tRNA) molecules are approximately 80 nucleotides in length. Their secondary structure includes four short double-helical elements and three loops (D, anti-codon, and T loops).
Source: RNAcentral
GCACUCGUAGCUCAAUUGGAUAGAGCAUCAGAUUUCGAAUCUGAGGGUUGGGAGUUCGAUCCUCUCCGGGUGCACCA